GUGCUCCCUUUGGCAGGACAUAAUGCUGAAACUGGAAUAAUAUAAAGAAGACUAGUAUGGCCUCUAUAAAAGGAUGACACACAAAUGUGUAGAGCAUUCCAUAUUUAA
Small nuclear RNA from Octodon degus (degu), 108 nucleotides. The record is from Ensembl. NCBI's taxonomy places the organism in Eukaryota, Metazoa, Chordata, Mammalia, Rodentia, Octodontidae.